GACGAACGCUGGCGGCGUGCUUAACACAUGCAAGUCGAGCGAAGCGGCGGACGGGUGAGUAACACGUGAGUAACCUGCCUUAGACAUUGGUCUAGCCUCGGGACACCGGGAUUAAUACCAAAUGGUCUAAGAUGGACUCGCGUCCCAUUAGCUAGUUGGUGAGGUACCGGCCCACCCAGGCGACGAGGGGUAGCCGGCCUGAGAGGGUGAACGGUCACAUUGGAACUGAGAAACUGUCCAAACUCUACGGGAGGCAGCAGGGGGGAAUAUUGCACAAUGGAGGGAACUCUGAUGCAGCGACGCCGCGGGAACGAAGAAGGCGUUCGAGUCGUAAAGUUCUUUUAUAUGGGAAGCGGUACCAUAAGAAAAAGCCCCGGCUAACUACGUGCCAGCAGCCGCGGUAAUUC
Molecule: ribosomal RNA, 407 nt
Filed under: uncultured bacterium
Lineage: Bacteria
Description: partial 16S ribosomal RNA
Rfam family: Bacterial small subunit ribosomal RNA
Source: RNAcentral